UUAGUUGCGACUGUAUUCGUUAUAGUAGUUAAUUUGCUAGUCCACGGGAUGUUCCCGCCGAAAUUGGACUUCGUUAUUAUGAAUAUUAAUAAAUUAAUAUGAGGUGUGUUUUUAUCAACUUAACCACUUGGUUGUUUUUGCUUCAGAAAAGCAACUAGUUAUAAAUGUAAGGGCUUUUUUGGACAACUUCGGUGAAAAAGUGUUGAUUUCGUAGUUCAGUCAGCGUAACUUAUAUCCGAGAGGUCUUACAGGCGCCACAGACACCUAUCAGCCUUUUGUAAGGAGGAGCAGCUCGAGUGCGGUGCGGUCAGUAGUCCUUCAAAUUAGAAAAGUGAGGAUGAUCUUGUCAAUGCUGAGAUUUUCAUGCAUCAACAGCCACUACAUCUGGAUCAGAUUGAACAAGAAACAGACAGCAAGGGUUGUCAGAUCAGAAACAGAAUGACACACAAACACAAGAAACUUCACAGGCAGAUCAACAUGCAAUUUGAAGACGUGUGAUAAAAUACAGAGAGGUGAAGUAGUGUGUCUUUCCAGAUCCCCAAAUCAUUCCCCCUUAAAAGAUGAGCUGAAGAGGAGAUUUGGGAAGAUGCUGUUUCAUAAGUCGCUUUGCCUGAUCACAUGUG
Paramisgurnus dabryanus is the source of this 623-nucleotide non-coding RNA. The record is from RefSeq and is a predicted model, not a curated record. Lineage: Eukaryota; Metazoa; Chordata; Actinopteri; Cypriniformes; Cobitidae.